AUGCGGUUUGGGUUCAGCUUGGUUUUCCUUGUUGCUCUUUUAAGAGGUGUCCAGUGUGAGGCACAGCUGUUGGAGUCUGGGGGAAGCUUGGUGAAGCCUGGGGGGUCUCUGAGACUCUCCUGUGCAGCCUCUGGAUUCACAUUCAGUACCUCCUGGAUGACCUGGGUCCGCCAGGCUCCAGGGAAGGGGCUGGAGUGGGUCUCAUUGAUUAAUCCUGAUGGAAGUAGCACAUACUAUGCAAACUCUGUGAAGGGCCGAUUCACCAUCUCCAGAGACAACACCAAGAACAUGCUAUACCUGCAAAUGAACAGCCUGAAAGUCGAGGACACGGCUGUGUAUUACUGUGCAAGAGACACAGUGAGGGGAAGUCAAUGUGAGCCCAGACAC
This is a non-coding RNA of Eptesicus fuscus (big brown bat), 387 nucleotides long. The record is from the annotation of a RefSeq genome assembly. NCBI's taxonomy places the organism in Eukaryota, Metazoa, Chordata, Mammalia, Chiroptera, Vespertilionidae.